AGUGAACGCUGGCGGUAGGCCUAACACAUGCAAGUCGAACGGCAGCACAGUAAGAGCUUGCUCUUACGGGUGGCGAGUAGCGGACGGGUGAGGAAUACAUCGGAAUCUACUUUUUCGUGGGGGAUAACGUAGGGAAACUUACGCUAAUACCGCAUACGACCUACGGGUGAAAGCAGGGGAUCUUCGGACCUUGCGCGAUUGAAUGAGCCGAUGUCGGAUUAGCUAGUUGGCGGGGUAAAGGCCCACCAAGGCGACGAUCCGUAGCUGGUCUGAGAGGAUGAUCAGCCACACUGGAACUGAGACACGGUCCAGACUCCUACGGGAGGCAGCAGUGGGGAAUAUUGGACGAUGGGCGCAAGCCUGAUCCAGCCAUACCGCGUGGGUGAAGAAGGCCUUCGGGUUGUAAAGCCCUUUUGUUGGGAAAGAAAAGCAGCAGGUUAAUACCCCGCUGUUCUGACGGUACCCAAAGAAUAAGCACCGGCUAACUUCGUG
This 492-nucleotide ribosomal RNA is filed under the name uncultured bacterium. RNAcentral's name for it is "partial 16S ribosomal RNA". It matches the Rfam family "Bacterial small subunit ribosomal RNA", at positions 29 to 507 of the family's 1533-position model. The record is from RNAcentral.